GGGGACAACAGCCAGAAAUGGCUGCUAAUACCGCAUAAGCCUGCUGUGCCGCAUGGCACAGCAGGGAAAACCACGGUGGUACAGGAUGGGCCCGCGUCUGAUUAGUUAGUUGGCAGGGUAACGGCCUACCAAGACAACGAUCAGUAGCCGGCUUGAGAGAGUGGACGGCCACAUUGGGACUGAGACACGGCCCAGACUCCUGCGGGAGGCAGCAGUGGGGAAUAUUGCACAAUGGGGGGAACCCUGAUGCAGCAAUGCCGCGUGGGUGAAGAAGCACUCCGGUGCGUAAAGCCCUGUCAGCAGGGAAGAAAAUGACAGUACCUGGACAAGAAGCCCCGGCUAACUACGUGCCAGCAGCCGCGGUAAUACGUAGGGGGCAAGCGUUAUCCGGAUUUACUGGGUGUAAAGGGAGCGCAGGCGGCGUGGCAAGUCAGAUGUGAAAACCCGGGGCCCAACCCCGGGAGUGCAUUUGAAACUGCCAUGCUGGAGUGCCGGAGAGGUAAGCGGAAUUCCUAGUGUAGCGGUGAAAUGCGUAGAUAUUAGGAGGAACACCAGUGGCGGAGGCGGCUUACUGGACGGUAACUGACGCUGAGGCUCGAAAGCGUGGGGAGCAAACAGGAUUAGAUACCCUGGUAGUCCACGCCGUAAACGAUGAA
RNAcentral lists this ribosomal RNA (656 nucleotides) under uncultured bacterium. RNAcentral describes it as "bacterial SSU rRNA". It matches the Rfam family "Bacterial small subunit ribosomal RNA", at positions 139 to 813 of the family's 1533-position model. The record is from RNAcentral.